GCCUGGGUGGCGGAACUGGUAGACGCAAGGGACUUAAAAUCCCUCGAUCCUUGCGGUCGUGAGGGUUCGACCCCCUCCCUAGGCACCA
Molecule: transfer RNA, 88 nt
Filed under: Deltaproteobacteria bacterium
Lineage: Bacteria; Pseudomonadati; Myxococcota; Myxococcia
Description: tRNA-Leu
Rfam family: tRNA
About the family: Transfer RNA (tRNA) molecules are approximately 80 nucleotides in length. Their secondary structure includes four short double-helical elements and three loops (D, anti-codon, and T loops).
Source: RNAcentral